AGCAGCCGCGGUAAUUCCAGCUCCAAUAGCGUAUAUUAAAGUUGUUGCAGUUAAAAAGCUCGUAGUUGAAUUUCGGGGUUAGUAGGUUGGUCGUGCCAAUGGUAUGCACUGGCCUCACUGAUUCCUCCUUCUUGAUGAACCUUAAUGCCAUUAAUUUGGUGUUUUGGGGAAUCUGGACUGUUACUUUGAAAAAAUUAGAGUGUUUAAAGCAAGCUAACGCUUGAAUACAUUAGCAUGGAAUAAUGAGAUAGGACGUUCGGUCUUAUUUUGUUGGUUUCUAAGAUUGACGUAAUGAUUAAUAGGGAUAGUUGGGGGCAUUAGUAUUCAAUUGUCAGAGGUGAAAUUCUUGGAUUUAUUGAAGACUAACUACUGCGAAAGCAUUUGCCAAGGAUGUUUUCAUUAAUCAAGAACGAAAGUUAGGGGAUCGAAGACGAUCAGAUACCGUCGUAGUCUUAACCAUAAACUAUGCCGACUAGGGAUCGGAUGAUGUUAAUUUUUUAAUGACUCA
Molecule: ribosomal RNA, 508 nt
Filed under: Glomus sp. PSAMG3
Lineage: Eukaryota; Fungi; Glomeromycota; Glomeromycetes; Glomerales; Glomeraceae
Description: SSU rRNA
Rfam family: Eukaryotic small subunit ribosomal RNA
Source: RNAcentral